AGGCAGCAGUGGGGAAUAUUGGGCAAUGGGCGCAAGCCUGACCCAGCAACGCCGCGUGAAGGAAGAAGGUCUUCGGAUUGUAAACUUCUGUCAUAGGGGACGAAGGAAGUGACGGUACCCUAUGAGGAAGCCCCGGCUAACUAC
This 144-nucleotide ribosomal RNA is filed under the name uncultured bacterium. Its description in RNAcentral is "partial 16S ribosomal RNA". It matches the Rfam family "Bacterial small subunit ribosomal RNA", at positions 346 to 504 of the family's 1533-position model. The record is from RNAcentral.